Molecule: ribosomal RNA, 378 nt
Filed under: uncultured organism
Description: bacterial SSU rRNA
Rfam family: Bacterial small subunit ribosomal RNA
Source: RNAcentral
GGCCUAAUACAUGCAAGUCGAACGGUGUCUUCGGACAUAGUGGCGCACGGGUGCGUAACACGUAUGCAACCUACCUUACAUUGGGGGAUAGCCUUUCGAAAGGGAGAUUAAUACCGCAUAAGACAGUAGCUGGGCAUCCAGCAGCUGUUAAAGAUUUAUCGAUGUAAGCUGGGCAUGCGUCCAAUGAGCUAGUUGGUGGGGUAAUGGCUCACCAAGGCAAUGAUUGGUAGGGGAACUGAGAGGUCAAUCCCCCACACUGGCACUGAGAUACGGGCCAGACUCGUACGGGAGGCAGCAGUAGGGAAUAUUGGGCAAUGGACGCAAGUCUGACCCAGCCAUGCCGCGUGCAGGAUGAAGGCGUUAUGCGUAGCUUUCUGC